AAAGUCGUAACAAGGUUUCCGUAGGUGAACCUGCGGAAGGAUCAUUAAUAAGUAGUAACACAUUAGUGUUUUGUGAAUAGUCUAGUGCCUUUGGGGUGCUACGUAUAACAUUUGUUGCCAUGAAAUUGUGUACAGCAGUAUAAACUUUAAAUAACUUUUAACAAUGGAUCUCUUGGCUCUC
This 181-nucleotide unclassified non-coding RNA is filed under the name Basidiomycota sp. Its description in RNAcentral is "partial contains small subunit ribosomal RNA, internal transcribed spacer 1, and 5.8S ribosomal RNA". The stretch from base 1 to 47 matches the Rfam family "Eukaryotic small subunit ribosomal RNA", at positions 1785 to 1831 of the family's 1831-position model. Lineage: Eukaryota; Fungi; Basidiomycota. The record is from RNAcentral.